Molecule: ribosomal RNA, 528 nt
Filed under: uncultured bacterium
Lineage: Bacteria
Description: bacterial SSU rRNA
Rfam family: Bacterial small subunit ribosomal RNA
Source: RNAcentral
GCAGCAGUGGGGAAUUUUGGACAAUGGGCGCAAGCCUGAUCCAGCCAUGCCGCGUGCGGGAAGAAGGCCUUCGGGUUGUAAACCGCUUUUGUCAGGGAAGAAAUCUUCUGAGUUAAUACCUCGGGAGGAUGACGGUACCUGAAGAAUAAGCACCGGCUAACUACGUGCCAGCAGCCGCGGUAAUACGUAGGGUGCGAGCGUUAAUCGGAAUUACUGGGCGUAAAGCGUGCGCAGGCGGUUUUGUAAGACAGAGGUGAAAUCCCCGGGCUCAACCUGGGAACUGCCUUUGUGACUGCAAGGCUUGAGUGCGGCAGAGGGGGAUGGAAUUCCGCGUGUAGCAGUGAAAUGCGUAGAUAUGCGGAGGAACACCGAUGGCGAAGGCAAUCCCCUGGGCCUGCACUGACGCUCAUGCACGAAAGCGUGGGGAGCAAACAGGAUUAGAUACCCUGGUAGUCCACGCCCUAAACGAUGUCAACUGGUUGUUGGGAGGGUUUCUUCUCAGUAACGUAGCUAACGCGUGAAGUUGAC